Ailuropoda melanoleuca (giant panda) is the source of this 2888-nucleotide long non-coding RNA. RefSeq lists it as uncharacterized. The transcript is spliced from 3 exons. Lineage: Eukaryota; Metazoa; Chordata; Mammalia; Carnivora; Ursidae. The record is from RefSeq and is a predicted model, not a curated record.
GCCAACUGCAGAUGAGACCUUGAGGUAAAGGAUCUGAAAAUAAGGAAAACCCUGAGCUGUCAGAGGCAGGCGAGUCCACAGUGCAAAGUCAGCCCCAGAAGUUAUGAGAGGUGUAAGCCAGCAAUGAACUUUGUGGUGUGGACAACGGAACCCCCACCUGUGUCCGCUCAAUCCUCACCCCCAACUUUGGACGUGAAACCCUGUGUCUGCCUGAAAGAGUCAAAACAAAGUGAAAGAAGUCAUAAGGUGUGCCCCAAACUUGACCUGUCGUCCCCUUGCCUCCCACGAGCUUCGCGAAGAGGGAGGAAAAAAGGCUUCAGGGUUUGCCGCGAGGCUGGAUUAUUUUAUGGGGUUUGUAAGAGAGAGACUGUUUCUGAUAGUGAGUAUGAGUCGGAUGUCCAAGGGGCUUUGCUGAUGCUUGGCGACAUGCCCCGUCCUCGUUUGGAUUUGUCCACGAGCAGACCGGAGAUGAAGAUAUGAGCACGAGAGGUUUCUUCUUCGGGCAUUGCAGGAACACCUGCAAAGGAACGGGGGCAGAAAGCAAGGAUGAGCAGAAGCCUGGAAAAAGAGCGUCAGGCAGGUGACCUCUGCGGGCAGCGGGGCUCGGUUCUGCGGCCUCUGGCGCUGGCGCAGAACGUGCCCCCGGGAGUUUUCCCACCUGCCGCGCUGGCCAAGCCGACUCCCGCCAGAGGAAGCUCCCUGAUGGGAGAUGCAGGGGUGGCGAUGCGGGCCUCACCCUGCAAGCCCACGGUGGCUUGGAGUGUCCGCUGCCCUUCCUUUUGGAAGAAUUACUGUUCGCGCUCUGGUCACGUAAUCAUGUCAACAGGCAACAGCCACAGUGUAGCUCCCCCAGGUAGCCAGGCGCGACGAUGCCUUUCUCGGAGGGCGGGGUCUUCGCACGUGGAGUGUCCGCGGGCCUCUGGCAGAGGUGACCGGCCUGCGCUUGCUGCUACCAGAUGCCGCCCGCGGCCCAGAGCCUGCACUGUGCGGGGCGCCCGCUCCGGACCAGUCCCGCGGCGGAGCUGAAGGCCAAAUUGCCGAUCCAGCUUUUAGGCCUGGUUUUCUUUGGGACUGAUAGCCUCUUAAGAAGGAAUUUAGGUCCCAGGUUAGGGCAGUGCUGAUGGCCUCUCACCUCUCAUCACCUGGAGUCCUGGCCUCAUUUGCACGCACUGAAUGAAUGUGCAAGAAGUAAGUGAAUGAAUGAAUGAAUGAACGUGGCUGUCUGAAAGGCUACGAGAAGGUUUAACUGCGUCCGGAACAUACGUUCUGGGAUCGUAUGUUCCGAACUGCGUGGGAUCAUCAAUGUAUCCGCCUCCUCGGAUCCCCUGGACGUAAAUGAUUUGUGAAGUGGGCUCUGUUGUCUAGAAAUGCUAAGCCCCACAUCUACAGCCCUCAGGUUUGAACGUUGAGGAAGCCAACUCCCAGCUCUUCCUAGUCAACAAACUGUGCGUUUCCUUUAUUCGUGUGUGUGUGUGUGUGUGUGUGUGUGUGUGUGUGUUUGCCGCUGUAAAGAACGGGCCUUGGGAUUCCAGAGAAGGGUUGAUUUUGUGUCCGUUUUGUGUCUGGGCCGAGGCAUCGGGAAGCUCACACCAGAGACAACCCUGUGCUGGGCAUUCAGGGUCUGUGCCCAGCCCCGUGAGGUUUCCACCUGUGUUUCACACGUAAUCCACACAGUAAUCCCGGGAGCUAGCGUUCCCUUUCCUGAGAAGAGAAGACGCAGUUGGCAGGCCGGGAGGAAGGGGGUCAGCAUUCCGCGGCCGGCCUCUGGCCUCAGCACAAGUGGGGCUUCUCAGCAGCCAGGGCUCGGCCUGCGCUGCUCAGACAGAAGCCCGGAGCCCCAGGGGACACCGCUGUGCUGGGGGCGGGGAUGAGCGGCAUCCCGCUCCUUGGGCUUCUGUGGUCUGUGCUGACUCCAGGACUCCAGGUGAUUUCUCUAGUUCGCAUGGGACGGACGUUCCUGCUCACUGCAGUGUCCACAGCACGUCUGUGGACCUGGCAGGUGGUAUCAAAUGCCGGUACCCUGAGCCACGGCCCCCGGCUUCAGUGCCUCGCCCUCCCCCGGCCAGAGCCAGCCCCCAGCCCUCUGUGACCCCCGGCUUCCGUCAUCUGCUCCCAGAGCCGGUCGUUGAGGCAGAAGCUACGCUUUCCUGCCACGUCCCCCACCGCAGGCGCAUCGCCCAGGGCCCACGUGUGCUGUUGGGCUGCGAACAUGUCCAGGAACCACCAGGCAAUCGGACAAAGGAAGCUUCGGUCAAGAAUUCAUACUGGGAGACUUACCGAGGGAGGAACAUUUUCCCCAUUCACGCAUUCAUUCAUGCAACUCGUGUUUGAGGGGCGAGAACCGGGCGUUGUUCCGGGCCUCGGGGUACGCGAUGAACAGUAGGGGCACGUGUCUGUGCCCGUGGAGCCUUCACUCUUUCUUGUGGUCAACAUCCCCAAAUGACCGUCAGUUGUAAAUAACAGCACUUCUUGUAACACACUUAAACAGAAGAGGACUUCACUGAAAAUAUUUGGUAGCUUGCUGGAUGUCUGGCACGGCCAGCUGGUCAUGCUGGGAGGCCCCCGAUCGGCACGGGGUCUGCUUUCACAUAGUGGCCACUGGCCGCAUGAAUCCCCGAACCGCGGCCAGGCUGAACUGAGGCGUACUUCAGGCAGUCAAUACACACUGAAUUUCAAAGAUUCACCGUAAAAAAGAAUACAAACGAUCUCACGGGUACUUUUUAAUAUUGAUUACGUGUCGAAAUAACAUUUAGGAUAUGUGGGGUCACAUCAAAUAUGCUAUUAAAAUGAUCUCACCUUUUAAAUAUUUUUUAAGGGUGGCUAUUAAACAAGUGAAAAUAGUUUCUGUGGCUCGCUCUACAUUUCUGUUGGACAGCACUUCUCUAGAA